This 579-nucleotide unclassified non-coding RNA is filed under the name Hevea brasiliensis (rubber tree). The record is from RNAcentral. Lineage: Eukaryota; Viridiplantae; Streptophyta; Magnoliopsida; Malpighiales; Euphorbiaceae.
CUUGUAUUCAGCAGUGUAGCAAUGCUAGUCAAUAAAGCUAAUUUCACCUUUGAACGGGAAUGGGGAAGCAAUGAAGUACAGAAUUACAGGAGAAGGUGGCAGCUGAGGAGAGAAUCAGGAGCUGUCACAACUCACAAAGCUAUAUACAAGUUCAGAAGCUGAACGAGAAGAGAGCAUGCUUCCCUCCUACAGGAAGCAUUAUGACUUCUUGGUGCUGUUUUACAAAUCUGGGUGAUUAUUGGAAGAUCAUGCGGUAGCAGCUGCAGCUUCUUCUGCGACUUGGGAUCCCUGUUGCAGAGUGCAGAUGAGGUUGCGAUCCCCAUACACAUUGUCCACGCGACAUGUUGUUGGCCAGAACUUGGCGCCCCGAAGCCACGCUGCAGGGAACGCAGCGUACUCCCUGGAGUACGGCUUAGUCCAUGAGUCGCUCAUCAGAAGUUGGGGCGGGUGAGGAGCACUCUUGAGGACAUUGUUGUUCACAUCUGCUUUGCCACUUUCGAUUUCUGCAAUUUCUUCCCUGAUUGAGAUUAGAGCAUCACAGAACCUGUCUAGUUCGGCCUUGCUUUCACUUUCAGUGGG